CGGAGGCAGCAGUGGGGAAUAUUGGUCAAUGGACGCAAGUCUGAACCAGCCAUGCCGCGUGAAGGAUUAAGGUCCUCUGGAUUGUAAACUUCUUUUAUCUGGGACGAAAAAAGGCGAUUCUUCGUCACUUGACGGUACCAGAUGAAUAAGCACCGGCUAACUCCGUGCCAGCAGCCGCGGUAAUACGGAGGGUGCAAGCGUUAUCCGGAUUCACUGGGUUUAAAGGGUGCGUAGGCGGGCAGGUAAGUCAGUGGUGAAAUCCUUGAGCUUAACUCGAGAACUGCCAUUGAUACUAUCUGUCUUGAAUAUUGUGGAGGUAAGCGGAAUAUGUCAUGUAGCGGUGAAAUGCUUAGAUAUGACAUAGAACACCUAUUGCGAAGGCAGCUUACUACGCAUAUAUUGACGCUGAGGCACGAAAGCGUGGGGAUCAAACAGGAUUAGAUACCCCGGU
RNAcentral lists this ribosomal RNA (451 nucleotides) under uncultured bacterium. RNAcentral describes it as "bacterial SSU rRNA". It matches the Rfam family "Bacterial small subunit ribosomal RNA", at positions 343 to 791 of the family's 1533-position model. The record is from RNAcentral.